CGCGGCCUAUCAGCUUGUUGGUGAGGUAAUGGCUUACCAAGGCUUGGACGGGUAGCUGGUCUGAGAGGACGAUCAGCCACACUGGGACUGAGACACGGCCCAGACUCCUACGGGAGGCAGCAGUAAGGAAUAUUGCGCAAUGGGCGAAAGCCUGACGCAGCAACGCCGCGUGCGGGAUGAAGGCCCUCGGGUUGUAAACCGCUUUCAGUAGGGAAGAAAAUGACGGUACCUACAGAAGAAGCCCCGGCCAACUACGUGCCAGCAGCCGCGGUAACACGUAGGGGGCGAGCGUUGUCCGGAUUUAUUGGGCGUAAAGAGCUCGUAGGCGGUUUCGUAAGUCGGAUGUGAAAACUCAGGGCUUAACCCUGAGCUUGCAGUGGGUACGGGCAGACUAGAGUGCGGUAGGGGAGACUGGAAUUCCUGGUGUAGCGGUGAAAUGCGCAGAUAUCAGGAGGAACACCGGUGGCGAAGGCGGGUCUCUGGGCCGUAACUGACGCUGAGGAGCGAAAGCAUGGGGAGCGAACAGGAUUAGAUACCCUGGUAGUCCAUGCCGUAAACGUUGGGCGCUAGGUGUGGGGCUCUUUCCACGAGUUCCGUGCCGCAGCUAACGCAUUAAGCGCCCCGCCUGGGGAGUACGG
RNAcentral lists this ribosomal RNA (638 nucleotides) under uncultured bacterium. Its description in RNAcentral is "bacterial SSU rRNA". It matches the Rfam family "Bacterial small subunit ribosomal RNA", at positions 232 to 885 of the family's 1533-position model. The record is from RNAcentral.